AAGACAUUGUGUCUUCGAGUCGUUGAUUUCACACUGCCGAGAAAAGCCUCUAGAUAGAAAAUAGGUGCCCGUACCGCAAACCGACACAGGUAGUCAAGAUGAGAAUUCUAAGGUGAGCGAGCGAACUCUCGUUAAGGAACUCGGCAAAAUGACCCCGUAACUUCGGGAGAAGGGGUGCUCUUUAGGGUUAACGCCCAGAAGAGCCGCAGUGAAUAGGCCCAAGCGACUGUUUAUCAAAAACACAGGUCUCUGCUAAACCGUAAGGUGAUGUAUAGGGGCUGACGCCUGCCCGGUGCUGGAAGGUUAAGAGGAGUGGUUAGCUUCUGCGAAGCUACGAAUCGAAGCCCCAGUAAACGGCGGCCGUAACUAUAACGGUCCUAAGGUAGCGAAAUUCCUUGUCGGGUAAGUUCCGACCCGCACGAAAGGCGUAACGAUUUGGGCACUGUCUCAACGAGAGACUCGGUGAAAUCAUAGUACCUGUGAAGAUGCAGGUUACCCGCGACAGGACGGAAAGACCCCGUGGAGCUUUACUGUAGCCUGAUAUUGAAAUUCGGCACAGCUUGUACAGGAUAGGUAGGAGCCUUUGAAACGUGAGCGCUAGCUUACGUG
Molecule: ribosomal RNA, 609 nt
Filed under: Staphylococcus aureus
Lineage: Bacteria; Bacillati; Bacillota; Bacilli; Caryophanales; Staphylococcaceae
Description: partial 23S ribosomal RNA
Rfam family: Bacterial large subunit ribosomal RNA
Source: RNAcentral